UUCUUUUUUUUUCAGGGUCCAGUUUUCGGUCCAGGGUCCAGGGCCAGUAUGGAGACGACGAACAUCAGCCUCGGAUCGGCGCAAACCGUGUCUCCUCAGCUCGACUUGUCUCACUCCAACUGCCUCUGUUUCACAGAUCCAACGCUUCCUGCCGAUCAACUAGUUUGCUAACUCUGAAGUUCGGAGCAACAACAGAAAGAAGCCCUGAGUAAGAGACUCAAACCUCGAGUCAAACGCUAUGGGUUUCUUGUCCGUGGUCUAUGCUUCUGAUGCGCAAUUGCAGCAAUUGGUGUGGCAAUUGGCCUGUUCUAGACCGAGAUCCGAGGCAGUGUUCUAGAGCGACUGGUGUCAGGAGUGACUUUCAACGGUGUCAGGAGUGACUUUCAGCGGUGUCAGGAGUGACUUUCAACGGUGUCAGGAGUGAUUUCAGCGGUCCAAAAGACUGAAGCAUCAGGAGUUCCACCAGCUACUUCGCAACUUGGAAUGGUUGUACAGGUAUUGUGCAGUAUACUCGUACGAUUAGAAGCAUUCGAUGGUCAUCUCGAUAGAACAGGAGGAAUAAGAGGAGGAGCGGCAUCGCAGUUGAUUAUAAACCCGUUUUCUUUCGGCGAGGUUUUUUGUUUCCUUCCUGAGAUUUUUUUGGUGUUUUUUUUUUUUG
This 658-nucleotide unclassified non-coding RNA is filed under the name Yarrowia lipolytica. The record is from RNAcentral. Lineage: Eukaryota; Fungi; Ascomycota; Dipodascomycetes; Dipodascales.